CCCCCUCUAGGGCUGACUGUGCUGGCUCACGCCUGUAAUCUCAACACUUUGGGAAGCUGAGGCAGGAGGAUUGCGUGAGGCCAGUAGUUCCAGAGCAGCUUGGGCAGCAUAGCAAGACUCCGUCUCUAAAAAACAAACUGUAAAAUAUUUAAUAAAAAUAAUAGUAAUCUCUAUCUGGGCCUCAUCUAGACCUUUAGGUGAGUAAGAACCACCUAAUGUAAGAACUUGGGGUACAAAGAGAAUCUAGCUCUGGGGUAGGCAAACUGAGCCAGCCGACCUAAUACAUGGAGCCUACCACCUGUUUUUCUACAGCCCUGAGUGAGCAUAUAUUACUAACUUCAAUAUGGAAAGAAUAAUAACUGAGCCACAGGAAAACAUCCAUUUAUUUGAAAAGAGAUCUUAGCUGCAAACAUGACUAUUAAAGAAAAUCUGAUCAAUGUGUCCUGAGGCUUGCUGGUUCCUCAAUUUCUUGUGGCUGGGCCAUGGCUACUUGGCAGUAUGGCUACCACUUGAGGUUCAUAUGCAGAAGGGACUUGCCUUUUCUCAGAUGAGAUGUUGGACUCGGACUUUUGAGUUAAUGCUGAAAUGAGCUAAGACUUUGGGGAACUGUUGGGAAGACAUGAUCGGUUUUGAAAUGCGAGAAGGACAUGAGAUGUGGGAGGGGCCAAGGGUGGAAUUAUAAGGUUUAGCUCUGUGUCCCCACCCAAAUUUCAUCUCGAAUUGUAAUUCCUAAUGUUGGGGAAGGGACCUGGUGGGAAGUGAUUGGAUCAUGGGGGUGGACUUCCCUCAUGCUGUUCUCCUGAUAAUGAGUGAGUUCUCAUGAGAUCUGCUUGUUUAAAGGUGUAUGGCACUUCCCCCCUUGCUCACGCUUUCUCUCUUCUGCUGCCAUGAGAAGAAAGUGCUUGCUUUCCCUUUGCUUUUCUCCCAUGAUUCAGUUUCUGAGGCCUCCCAGUCAU
Molecule: long non-coding RNA, 956 nt
Filed under: Homo sapiens (human)
Lineage: Eukaryota; Metazoa; Chordata; Mammalia; Primates; Hominidae
Description: novel transcript, antisense to VMA21
Source: RNAcentral